UACGGAGGAUGCGAGCGUUAUCCGGAUUUAUUGGGUUUAAAGGGUGCGUAGGCGGGUUAUCAAGUCAGCGGUAAAAUCGUGAGCUCAACUCCAUCCAGCCGUUGAAACUGAUGAUCUUGAGUGGGCGAGAAGUAUGCGGAAUGCGUGGUGUAGCGGUGAAAUGCAUAGAUAUCACGCAGAACUCCGAUUGCGAAGGCAGCAUACCGGCGCCCGACUGACGCUGAAGCACGAAAGCGUGGGUAUCGAACAGG
Molecule: ribosomal RNA, 251 nt
Filed under: uncultured bacterium
Lineage: Bacteria
Description: partial 16S ribosomal RNA
Rfam family: Bacterial small subunit ribosomal RNA
Source: RNAcentral